GACGAACGUUGGCGGCGUGCUUAACACAUGCAAGUCGAACGGAAAGGCCCUGCUUUUGUGGGGUGCUCGAGUGGCGAACGGGUGAGUAACACGUGAGUAACCUGCCCUUGACUUUGGGAUAACUUCAGGAAACUGGGGCUAAUACCGGAUAGGAGCUCCUGCUGCAUGGUGGGGGUUGGAAAGUUUCGGCGGUUGGGGAUGGACUCGCGGCUUAUCAGCUUGUUGGUGGGGUAGUGGCUUACCAAGGCUUUGACGGGUAGCCGGCCUGAGAGGGUGACCGGCCACAUUGGGACUGAGAUACGGCCCAGACUCCUACGGGAGGCAGCAGUGGGGAAUAUUGCACAAUGGGCGGAAGCCUGAUGCAGCAACGCCGCGUGCGGGAUGACGGCCUUCGGGUUGUAAACCGCUUUCGCCUGUGACGAAGCGUGAGUGACGGUAAUGGGUAAAGAAGCACCGGCUAACUACGUGCCAGCAGCCGCGGUGAUACGUAGGGUGCGAGCGUUGUCCGGAUUUAUUGGGCGUAAAGGGCUCGUAGGUGGUUGAUCGCGUCGGAAGUGUAAUCUUGGGGCUUAACCCUGAGCGUGCUUUCGAUACGGGUUGACUUGAGGAAGGUAGGGGAGAAUGGAAUUCCUGGUGGAGCGGUGGAAUGCGCAGAUAUCAGGAGGAACACCAGUGGCGAAGGCGGUUCUCUGGGCCAUUCCUGACGCUGAGGAGCGAAAGCGUGGGGAGCGAACAGGCUUAGAUACCCUGGUAGUCCACGCUGUAAACGGUGGGUACUAGGUGUGGGGUCCAUUCCACGGGUUCCGUGCCGUAGCUAACGCUUUAAGUACCCCGCCUGGGGAGUACGGCCGCAAGGCUAAAACUCAAAGGAAUUGACGGGGCCCCGCACAAGCGGCGGAGCAUGCGGAUUAAUUCGAUGCAACGCGUAGAACCUUACCUGGGUUUGACAUGGAUCGGGAGCGCUCAGAGAUGGGUGUGCCUCUUUUGGGGUCGGUUCACAGGUGGUGCAUGGCUGUCGUCAGCUCGUGUCGUGAGAUGUUGGGUUAAGUCCCGCAACGAGCGCAACCCUUGUUCACUGUUGCCAGCACGUUAUGGUGGGGACUCAGUGGAGACCGCCGGGGUCAACUCGGAGGAAGGUGGGGAUGACGUCAAGUCAUCAUGCCCCUUAUGUCCAGGGCUUCACGCAUGCUACAAUGGCUGGUACAGAGAGUGGCGAGCCUGUGAGGGUGAGCGAAUCUCGGAAAGCCGGUCUCAGUUCGGAUUGGGGUCUGCAACUCGACCUCAUGAAGUCGGAGUCGCUAGUAAUCGCAGAUCAGCAACGCUGCGGUGAAUACGUUCCCGGG
This 1343-nucleotide ribosomal RNA is filed under the name uncultured bacterium. RNAcentral's name for it is "16S ribosomal RNA". It matches the Rfam family "Bacterial small subunit ribosomal RNA", at positions 28 to 1378 of the family's 1533-position model. The record is from RNAcentral.